This is a microRNA precursor of Hucho hucho (huchen), 80 nucleotides long. Lineage: Eukaryota; Metazoa; Chordata; Actinopteri; Salmoniformes; Salmonidae. The record is from Ensembl.
UCUGGCUUUCCGUGUUCACAGCGGACCUUGAUUUAAUGUCUUACAAUUAAGGCACGCGGUGAAUGCCAAGAGCGGAGCCU